This 74-nucleotide transfer RNA is filed under the name Metschnikowia aff. pulcherrima. RNAcentral's name for it is "tRNA-Pro". It matches the Rfam family "tRNA". Rfam says of the family: Transfer RNA (tRNA) molecules are approximately 80 nucleotides in length. Their secondary structure includes four short double-helical elements and three loops (D, anti-codon, and T loops). The record is from RNAcentral. Lineage: Eukaryota; Fungi; Ascomycota; Pichiomycetes; Serinales; Metschnikowiaceae.
GGGCGUGUGGUCUAGUGGUAUGAUUCUCGCUUUGGGUCUGUGAGAGGCCCUGGGUUCAAUUCCCAGUAUGCCCC